RNAcentral lists this long non-coding RNA (1479 nucleotides) under Pan troglodytes (chimpanzee). RNAcentral describes it as "long non-coding RNA NONPTRT000881". The record is from RNAcentral. Lineage: Eukaryota; Metazoa; Chordata; Mammalia; Primates; Hominidae.
CCCAGAGACUUGAGCGCAGCAGCAGGAGGGCCUGGCAGGAGAGGGCAGGGCUGGGCAGCCCGAGGACUCCAGCGGGGUGGCCCAAAGAGAGGAGGCUUUCCGGCAUCCCCGGCAUGGCCUAUCCCCUUUGUCCUGCCUGCCCUCUGGACAGAGAGAGACUCAUUAUCCAGUUAGAUGCUAGGCGGUAAGAGGAGGAAGCUAAUUGUGCUAGCGCUAGCUAAUUAAUGCUGCCUUUCCUAUUAACAUUCUUUGGAGUGCUCCAUUUCAAUUAGAUGAUCUGUCCAGGAAGAGAGGCUGUCGUCAGUCCAGAGAAAGUAAGCAAGAGGAGGUGACGGAAGGAGGGAAACAGAGACAGAGACAGAGGAAAAGAGGAGAGAGACCGAAGGGAGAGUGGAAUGGUGGGGGAUGAGGGAGAGACUGAGAUGCAAAUAGGGAAACAAAAGAAGAAACAGAAAGGAAGAAUGACUGAGGAUGAGGGGGAGAGGAGGGGUGCGCAGCAGAAGACUUGCAAGAGAGAGGCCUGGAAGGGGUGGGAAUUGCUCCUGUAAUAUGCAAGAUUCGUAUUAAUGAAAUAAUUAAACUUCCCAUUUGCAACGCCCUAACACGAGCCUGCCAGCUUGCCGAGGGGAUGGUAACUGCUCUGAGUCCCGAUUUGUAUUCGCACUGGAGGCAGCUCAGACUCACCCAAUCUCCAAAGGGAAAAACCAAGUCUGCAUGUGGAGAACGGGUAUAACAGUACUCACCGCAGAAACUGUCAGAAGGAUGGCGUACACAACAGACUGAGUACGGUGCCUGGUAGGUAUAAGUGCUUGGGAAAUGACAGCUACUAUUCUUUCAUAUGCUACUUCCCUCCAAAGGCUGGAACCCCUAACAGAUACAUGUAGCUGGCUGUGUUUUCCAAAGAUGGCUGCAACAAUAUCUGCCAUCUCACAUGCUUAUCUCAUGAUGUGACUUUGACACUCCUCCCAUCAAGCAGGCAAGGCUGCCAAAAUCACCAGCCCACCCAGAUUCAAGGGGAAGGAAUGCAGGCAUUAGGAAAUAAAGGAAGAUGCAGCUUCCUUCUGGCUCUCUUCGGACGCUCAUCCUUGGGAUCAGCCACUGUGUUACGAGAAUGUCCAAACUAGCCCAUGCGGAGAGAUCACUCGUAGGACUUCCUGCUGACAACCAACCUGACAGCCAGCAUCAACCACCAUGUGAUGUGAGCAUGUGAGCGACGCUGCUGCAGACAAUUCCAGCCCCCGGUCAUUGAGUAACCACUAGCCUUGAAGUCUUUCCAGCCGAGGCCCAGAUACCACAGAGUAGAGCUCAGCCAUCCUCUCCUGUGCCCUGUCCUGACCCGCGGAAUGCACGAUAGUUAUUAUACAUCUCUACACUCCGGGAUGUUUUGUUACAUAGCAAUAGCAACUGCAACAAUUGCAGUGAAGCCUUGUUCUGUAUGUGUGGCUCCAUGCCCUGCAGACAGCAUUUGCUGGAUUUAAG